GUAAAGUCCGGUCCAGUAUGGGGGACUGUCACUCCCUUGACCCGGGUUCGAAUCCCGG
Molecule: transfer RNA, 58 nt
Filed under: Candidatus Nitrosocosmicus oleophilus
Lineage: Archaea; Thermoproteati; Nitrososphaerota; Nitrososphaeria; Nitrososphaerales; Nitrososphaeraceae
Also listed under: 1 other name
Description: Candidatus Nitrocosmicus oleophilus tRNA
Rfam family: tRNA
About the family: Transfer RNA (tRNA) molecules are approximately 80 nucleotides in length. Their secondary structure includes four short double-helical elements and three loops (D, anti-codon, and T loops).
Source: Rfam by way of RNAcentral